Molecule: ribosomal RNA, 253 nt
Filed under: uncultured bacterium
Lineage: Bacteria
Description: partial 16S ribosomal RNA
Rfam family: Bacterial small subunit ribosomal RNA
Source: RNAcentral
UACGUAGGGUGCAAGCGUUGUCCGGAAUUAUUGGGCGUAAAGAGCUCGUAGGCGGUUCGUCGCGUCGGCUGUGAAAACCCGGAGCUCAACUCCGGGCCUGCAGUCGAUACGGGCGGACUAGAGUUCGGCAGGGGAGACUGGAAUUCCUGGUGUAGCGGUGAAAUGCGCAGAUAUCAGGAGGAACACCGGUGGCGAAGGCGGGUCUCUGGGCCGAUACUGACGCUGAGGAGAGAAAGCGUGGGGAGCGAACAGG